RNAcentral lists this ribosomal RNA (459 nucleotides) under uncultured bacterium. RNAcentral's name for it is "partial 16S ribosomal RNA". It matches the Rfam family "Bacterial small subunit ribosomal RNA", at positions 338 to 795 of the family's 1533-position model. The record is from RNAcentral.
CCUACGGGUGGCAGCAGUGAGGAAUAUUGGUCAAUGGUCGGGAGACUGAACCAGCCAAGCCGCGUGAGGGAGGAAGGUACAGAGUAUCGUAAACCUCUUUUGUCAGGGAACAAAGUCGGGGACGUGUCCCCGGCUGAGUGUACCUUACGAAAAAGCAUCGGCUAACUCCGUGCCAGCAGCCGCGGUAAUACGGAGGCUGCGAGCGUUAUCCGGAUUUAUUGGGUUUAAAGGGUGCGCAGGCGGUCUGUUAAGUCAGCGGUCAAAGCCCGGGGCUCAACCCCGGCCCGCCGUUGAAACUGGCAGUCUCGAGUUGGAGAGAAGUAUGCGGAAUGCGCGGUGUAGCGGUGAAAUGCAUAGAUAUCGCGCAGAACUCCGAUUGCGAAGGCAGCAUGCCGGCUCCACACUGACGCUGAGGCACGAAAGCGUGGGUAUCGAACAGGAUUAGAUACCCGGGUAGUC